GGAUCUGACCGCAGAGCGAGCGUUGAGGUCAUUCCGGGGAUAAAAGAGCGUCCGGUGGCAAACACAAGCUUUUACUGCACAUAAACAUGAGAUUUGAGACGCUCCGUGCAGACAAAAGGUGCGAAGAAGAGAUCUGCAGACGCUCACGUCAGCACCUGCAGACACUCGGCUCAUUAGGCUGAUUGGACGCAGGCUGUAGAAAGGCGACGUCUGCGCUGAGCUCACAUUAGAGGCGGUGGUCGGGUGAUCAGCGUGAGGAGUGUGUAGGAAUGGCCUGUGGAGUUCAUCUGGGGAUUUUGCUCGUUUGUUUGGUUCAGGCAGAGCGUGCACGCUGCUCCUGGUCUCAGCAAGCUCCGGCCUCCCAGAGACGCGGCGGCGGCGGGUACGCUGGCUCCGGCCCCCUCCAGGGUGAACUCAGACAGGCGCCUGUUUCCGCAGCCUCGGCCCACGGCGGUGGUUUGAGUGAGUGGACGCACGCGUCUGCUGACGGGCGGCAAACAAGCUGGCGGAGAGUGAAGGUUCAGAAACUGCCUCCAGCACAUCUGGACUGGUUUACUCCUAUUUCUAGCGGAAGCUCCAUCAACCAUUUUACUAGUAAAAAGACUAGUCACGAUCAGUCCAACCAGUAUCUGUUUAGCAAUGGUGUGUCUCCCAGUAAGACGUCAGACUCCCAGUCUCCAGCGCAGAGGCCUCAGGGUUCGGCUGCAGGGUCUCCGGGACCCGUGGGAGCAGAUGCGUCCUCUGAGGGCCUCCGCAGAUCCCCGUCCGGCGAAACCCUCCCCAGAGCUCCACGCCUGCCUCCAACGCGGCCGUGAGCUGCGCGAGCUACGCUCCAGACUGGCCCCGCGGGCAAAGCGCCGCCAGGAGCCCGAGCAAGCGCGGCCGGUUCGGCUCGGCCUCUGGUGCGGGCUCUGGCCGGGCAAGCAGAACGUUCAGCAUCCCCCAGCGCCUGGGCGGACACGCCAUCAGGCGGCCGCCGGCGUGGAGCGAGCAGGAAGGCAGGAUCCUGAAGCCACAGCAGCCUGCGUCAUACAAGCCUCGGGGUCAGAAGGUCAGGUGGUACAAGGUCAAGCUGCGUCGCUGACCCACAG
Molecule: long non-coding RNA, 1091 nt
Filed under: Betta splendens (Siamese fighting fish)
Lineage: Eukaryota; Metazoa; Chordata; Actinopteri; Anabantiformes; Osphronemidae
Description: lncRNA (ENSBSLG00000003034.1)
Source: RNAcentral